Molecule: non-coding RNA, 89 nt
Organism: Lineolata rhizophorae
Lineage: Eukaryota; Fungi; Ascomycota; Dothideomycetes; Lineolatales; Lineolataceae
Source: the annotation of a GenBank genome assembly
GGUUGUAUAGUGUAGUGGUUAGCACUCGGGAUUUUGACUGCUCCAAAGCGAAAAUUCCCGCAACCCCGGUUCGAUCCCGGGUACGACCU